ACUCAUACCUGGCAGGGGAGAUACCAUGAUUAUGAAAGUGGUUUUCCCAGGGUGAGGCUCAUGCAUUGCACUUCAGGUGUGCUGAUCACUGUGAUUUCCCCAAAUGUGGGAAAAUCACCUGCAUAAUUUGUGGUAGUGGGGGACUGUGUUUGUGGUUUCCCCUG
This is a small nuclear RNA of Pogona vitticeps (central bearded dragon), 164 nucleotides long. Its record names the gene U1. It matches the Rfam family "U1 spliceosomal RNA". From Rfam's summary of the family: U1 is a small nuclear RNA (snRNA) component of the spliceosome (involved in pre-mRNA splicing). Its 5' end forms complementary base pairs with the 5' splice junction, thus defining the 5' donor site of an intron. There are significant differences in sequence and secondary structure between metazoan and yeast U1 snRNAs, the latter being much longer (568 nucleotides as compared to 164 nucleotides in human). NCBI's taxonomy places the organism in Eukaryota, Metazoa, Chordata, Lepidosauria, Squamata, Agamidae. The record is from Ensembl.